CAGUCGCCGCGGGAAUACGGAGGGCGCGAGCGUUACCCGGAUUUACUGGGCGUAAAGGGCAUGUAGGCGGCCUGGGGCGUCCCAUGUGAAAGGCCACGGCUCAACCGUGGAGGAGCGUGGGAUACGCUCAGGCUAGAGGGUGGGAGAGGGUGGUGGAAUUCCCGGAGUAGCGGUGAAAUGCGCAGAUACCGGGAGGAACGCCGAUGGCGAAGGCAGCCACCUGGUCCACUUCUGACGCUGAGGCGCGAAAGCGUGGGGAGCAAACCGGAUUAGAUACCCCGGUAGUCCCUGUCUCUUAUAA
Molecule: ribosomal RNA, 301 nt
Filed under: uncultured bacterium
Lineage: Bacteria
Description: partial 16S ribosomal RNA
Rfam family: Bacterial small subunit ribosomal RNA
Source: RNAcentral